AUGGAUGUCAGGGAGAUCAUGAAGAUACGCACAUCUCCAAGGAACGGGCAGGAUUUCAUCGCUUGGGCCCCAGAGCGGUCUGGACAGUUCACUGUGCGUAGUGCUUAUCAUCUAGCAACGGAAGUCCAGCACUCCAUGCGGCUCAGCUCGUCAAGUAGUAAUUCUUCAGGUCGGAGGCCCAUUUGGCAGCGGAUUUGGAGCUCUAAAGUGCCCCUAAAGAUGAGAAUUAUGGCCUGGAAGGUUGUCUCCGAAGCUUUAGCUACAAAUGAAUGCAAGAAGUAUCGUCACAUAUCUACUAGGGAUAGCUGUCGGGUGUGUGGCCGAGAAAAGGAGACUAGCUUUCAUGCUCUAGUGUCAUGUGAGCAUGCGCAGAGGAUAUGGGCUCAGAUGAGAACUGUUUGGCGUCUACCGAGCCAGGAGCUCCUUCAUGAUACCGGGAAGGAAUGGCUUUUAAACGUCCCGGCAAACUGCGAUGAUCACAUGCGGGAUUGCACGAUCAUGUUGAUAUGGAGGAUUUGGUCGCGACGAUCGGACCUUACACACGGAAAGGAUGCUUCGUCCGUAACGGCAACGUCGGAUUACCUUCAAAGUUAUAUGAAUUCCUUGAACCUGUGUGGUACUUUCUCCACGGAUGAUAUUCUCAAAGGGAAAAUGCCAGCGGUCCGGGAUGCAAACGCCGAGGUACCUGCCCCGCCAAUACCUCUUCACUGGCCGCGGCUGCCCACGGGAUGGGCUGCGCUUUCGGUGGAUGGUGCCUUCAUGCAAGAGGACGGGUCGGCGGCAGCAGGUAUGAUACUUCGGAAUCAUGAGGGUGGUGUGAUCUUCGCGGCAUACAGAUGCAUCUUCAACUGUAACGACGCGCUGGAAGCGGAACUACAUGCAAUAAUGCAGGGUAUGGCCUUGGCCCUGCAGCACUCAUCCUUGCCAAUUGUGGUUCAGUCAGACUCAUCUACGGCACUAGCUGCAAUGACCGGGGACAGCUUGUCCAGGUCUGUUUAUGGGCAUUUG
This 1008-nucleotide ribosomal RNA is filed under the name Triticum aestivum (bread wheat). Its description in RNAcentral is "partial small subunit ribosomal RNA". Lineage: Eukaryota; Viridiplantae; Streptophyta; Magnoliopsida; Poales; Poaceae. The record is from RNAcentral.